UGAAUAAAAAAAAUUAAUAAUUAAAUAAAUAAUAAAAGUAAUUUUAAUAUUAAAAUAAAUAAUGGGGGUUAAAGUAUUUUAAUAGAAAAAAUUAUAAAUUUUAUAGUAAAUUAGUAUAAUAGUAGAAAUUUGAAAUAAUUGAAAAAAUAUAUUAAAAAAAGUAAAUUUUAUUUAUUGUAUCUUGUGUAUCAGAGUUUAUUAAAUAAAAUUUUUAUAAAAAAAUAUCUCGAAUUUAAAAGGGUUAAUUAAUUAAUAAAUUUAAUGUUGAAUAAUUAUUUUAAAUAAUUAAUUAGAAAUGAAAUGUUAUUCGUUUUUAAAUAUAUCUAGUUAUUUUAGAAAAAAAUUUAAUUUUAAAUUUAUUUUUUUUUUAUAAAUAUAAUUUUUAAAAAAAAAUAAAUUUUAUAAUUUAAGGGAUAAGCUUUAAAUUAAAAUAUUAUAAUUAUUUUAAAAAAAAAUUAAAAUUUUUAAAAUUUAAAUUGUUUAAAAAUUAAAAUUUAUUAUAAAAAAUUUUAUUAAAAAUAAAAUUUAUUUGAAUUUAAUUUUUUAUAAAAAUAUGAUAAAUAAUAUUAAAUUAUUAAAAAUAAUGAUAAAAUUAGUAUAAUAAAAUAAUAUAUAAGUAAAUUUUAUUUAAAAAUGAAUAAAAGGAAUUCGGCAAAUUUAUAUAUUCACCUGUUUAACAAAAACAUGUCUUUUUGAUAUAUAAUUUAAAGUCCAAUCUGCCCACUGAUUUUAUAUUAAAGGGCUGCAGUAAUUUGACUGUACAAAGGUAGCAUAAUCAUUAGUCUUUUAAUUGAAGACUUGUAUGAAAGAUUAGAUGAAAUAUAAACUGUUUCUUAUUUAAAAAUAGAAUUUAAUUUUUUAGUUAAAAAGCUAAAAUAAAUUUAAAAGACGAGAAGACCCUAUAGAGUUUAAUAUUUUUUUAUUUAAAAUAUUUAUAUAAAAUUUUAAUAUUAAAAAUAAAUAAUUAUUAUAUUGGGGUGAUAAAAAAAUUGAUUAAACUUUUUUUAAAAUUAAACAAAAAUAAAUGAUUAAAUGAUCCAUAAUUAAUGAUUAAAAGAAAAAAUUACCUUAGGGAUAACAGCGUAAUAUUUUUUUUUAGUACAAAUAAAAAAAAAGUUUGCGACCUCGAUGUUGGAUUAAGAUAAAAUUUAGAUGCAAAAGUUUAAAAUUUUGAUCUGUUCGAUCAUUAAAAUCUUACAUGAUCUGAGUUCAAACCGGUGUAAGCCAGGUUGGUUUCUAUCUUUAAAAAAAUAAAAUAUUUUA
This 1263-nucleotide ribosomal RNA is filed under the name Satyrium herzi. RNAcentral's name for it is "partial 16S ribosomal RNA". Lineage: Eukaryota; Metazoa; Arthropoda; Insecta; Lepidoptera; Lycaenidae. The record is from RNAcentral.